GUUUUGGACCCCACUGACUUUCAUUGUAUGGGCAAAAAAAAUGAGACAUCUUUUAUAUCUUCCAUGGAUGAAAGAAAGUCAUACUCACAACAUGAGGCUCUCCAGCAAUGGCUAAAAUUCCUGCUAAUCAGCUCUACAGACACCAGGAGUACACAAGGCCAGUCAUCGCAUGUAGAGCCGAGAGUGCAUUAGUAUGCCAUGGAGAAACACGGCGACUGUGAGUGGACACUUCAGCAAUUAGAUGUAUAGCACUUUGUGUGAACCCGCAGAGGUGCCAGUGCUCAUAUUCUGCUCAGCACCUGGGGGCAGCUUUCAUGCAUUGCUUUCCAACCGCUGCUACGUGUUCCACAUAUAGAUCGGCCCAUUAUUAAUUUUAAAUGUGUUGUAUCCAUUCCACAGUCUUUGGUAUUUUUGAUCAGUAGGGAUGAGGUAUGGAGAUGAACAAGGCACGGUUCAUUAUCUAGCCGUGUUUUACUGUGUAAUUUAUUGUUUGACUUGUUUCAGCAUCGUGCAUUGUGUCACUGUUGGUGUUUAACUGUUUUUUUUAUGUGUGGUGUUUGGACUUUGUUUUCUAGAAACUCUUUCUGAUUGCACAAGACUGUGUAAGAGAAGCGCUCAUGCCUGGCCUGAGACACAAACAAACCUCAUGAGAUGUGCUGCUGCUACUACUUCCUUCAACAUAUGAGCAAAUCCAUACACUUAACAAUGUUAGUAAGAAGUCACAAUAAAUACAAUCUUGACAAUGAUUUCCAGGUCGCAUCCUGCACUUUUCACCUUUUCCACCCUUCAUGAUCCUGUGGGGUGUCUGAGCCUGAGGGGGUGUUGAAUUCUGCCGGGGGGCGUAAUGUUUGAUUUGUGAGGAUGAGCUUCAGGCUCUUGAGGAAUAAUGGUCUGCAAUACAACAGUAUUGGUGCUUUGAUUAGAACUUUGUUUUUGUAUUGUGUGUGAUUGGGUUUCCAGAUAGCAUAUGAUGAUGAAUAAAAGUGAUGACUGGUGCUGACUGUUAUUUAUAAUGAUUCUUUUCUCUUGUGUUAAUUUAGAUUUUCAUGGUAUGAAAAUUUAGAUGGCAUGGAGAAUCUCACAAAAUGUCCGGGUCAUAUUUCAACCUAAAAUCAAAAGGAAAAAGUAGUUAUCUUUUAUAAAAUGAUGUUGUACUUUAAGAAAAUUAAGCAUAUUUUAGUACCAUUAGUACAUUUUUUUUUUAAUUGGGACAUUAUUUUAAUAACAUUUAAUCAC
This is a long non-coding RNA of Cyprinus carpio carpio, 1236 nucleotides long. The record is from Ensembl. NCBI's taxonomy places the organism in Eukaryota, Metazoa, Chordata, Actinopteri, Cypriniformes, Cyprinidae.